ACGACCUUACUUGAACAGGAUCUGUUCUAUAGGAUCGUACCUCUGUAUCCUUUAACACUAAGGAGACAGGAACCUAAGCCUGGUUGAUGAACCAGGACCGUGUGAUCAUAGCGUGAUUAGUGGCUUGAUUAUCCUUGGAUUAUCAUGGCCGCAGAGGAUCGUUCUCGAGCCAUCAUGUGGCUUGGGGAUGGUCAUGCGGUUGUCUGACAGGC
Molecule: small nucleolar RNA, 212 nt
Filed under: Salix viminalis (osier)
Lineage: Eukaryota; Viridiplantae; Streptophyta; Magnoliopsida; Malpighiales; Salicaceae
Rfam family: Plant small nucleolar RNA U3
About the family: Small nucleolar RNAs (snoRNAs) are involved in the processing and modification of rRNA in the nucleolus. There are two main classes of snoRNAs: the box C/D class, and the box H/ACA class.
Source: RNAcentral